CUUAGCAAUAUACAGGGUGAGAUGAAAAAACUGCAACCAUCUUCAGAUUGCUGUCAUUUCUAAGACACUCGUCCGACAGCUGUUAAAUUGUUCCAUGUAGCAUAGCAUUUUGGUGAGAAUUUUCCACAAAAAAGUUAUUCGUGAUGGAAUUCAAGCGUGAUAGUCUGAUUUCUUUAUAUUUGGCUGGAAAACCACAAGUGGCUAGGUCCCCUUAAAUGUGAAUAAAUCUUUUGUGUCUCGUACCAUCCUUCAUUACAGUGAUACUGGCAGCGUAGCCCGACUUCAAGAAAGUGAAAGAAAACAGCAACAUCAGCAGAAAUGGUUCAAAAAGUAAAGAAGCGAUUUGAUCGAAACCCGCGUCGCAGUGGC
This is a long non-coding RNA of Musca vetustissima, 369 nucleotides long. RefSeq lists it as uncharacterized. The record is from RefSeq and is a predicted model, not a curated record. The transcript has 2 exons. NCBI's taxonomy places the organism in Eukaryota, Metazoa, Arthropoda, Insecta, Diptera, Muscidae.